This 361-nucleotide transfer RNA is filed under the name uncultured Microcystis sp. Its description in RNAcentral is "partial 16S-23S ribosomal RNA intergenic spacer". The stretch from base 136 to 209 matches the Rfam family "tRNA". Lineage: Bacteria; Bacillati; Cyanobacteriota; Cyanophyceae; Chroococcales; Microcystaceae. The record is from RNAcentral.
AAAGGGAGACCUAAUUCAGGUAGGAGGCGAAAAAAAAGUAGUCGCUACCAAGAAUCAAUCCCAAAAGGUCGGAGCGAGGCGAAAUUGGCUUUCAAACUAGGUUCUGGGUUCACACAAGACCUGAAUCAGGAACAAGGGCUAUUAGCUCAGGUGGUUAGAGCGCACCCCUGAUAAGGGUGAGGUCCCUGGUUCGAGUCCAGGAUGGCCCACCUGCACAGGUGGCAAAAACAAGAGAAGCUCCGAAUCAGCACCUUAUCUUACUGACAUAGUAAGAGAGAAUGCUGGCUCUGAGUAAAGAGUCCAGAGGAACCUUGAAAACUGCAUAGAGCUAGGUGAAAAAGCCAAAAAAGAAGACCGCAAG